CUGGUGAUGACCUGCCCUUUUAGCAUAGACACACCCUUGAGUGAGAAGCAACUCCGCCAUUUCUGUUUACUCGCUGUAUCCGUUAGCUAGAGGAUUACAAUGUCUGCACAAACAACAACAACAACAACAACAACAACAAAAACACUACAAAUAUUCUGUUGUUGGAUGUACCGGAAAUGUGCCGGAGAAUGGCGGUAAAAUGUUAUAUAUCUGCGCAAAUCAUUUUACGCAUGACUGCUUCACCAACGAGUCAGUACAACGCUGGAUUUGCAAAAAUGUUGUUUCUGAAGGAUGGGUAAAAUUGGCUCUAACUUCAUAUCCAGAACAAGGAACACAUUUCUCUCUGUAACAAAGAAGAUGGUGAGCAAAGGUAGCCUUCAUUUUGGAGCAGCACCUGGGUUUUGCCUUGUUUUCCGGGUGCUGGAUCCAGGCCGUAUCCAGAUCAGAUGGAGAACCUG
Molecule: long non-coding RNA, 458 nt
Organism: Megalobrama amblycephala (Wuchang bream)
Lineage: Eukaryota; Metazoa; Chordata; Actinopteri; Cypriniformes; Xenocyprididae
Exons: 3
Source: RefSeq, a predicted model, not a curated record